Molecule: non-coding RNA, 47 nt
Organism: Streptomyces sp.
Lineage: Bacteria; Bacillati; Actinomycetota; Actinomycetes; Kitasatosporales; Streptomycetaceae
Source: Rfam
UCGGCCCCGGUUCACGUGAGCGCAAACCGCGCGUACGACCCGGCGCC